UUUGAUGCCUAUUAUACAUAAAUCUGCACCACAUGUGGCAUUAUUCUCUGCUCGAGGGAAGAAUAUAAAGGACUUCAGCUUCCAAGAGGCGGAUCUUCUCAAACCAGAUAUAUUAGCCCCUGGUUCUUUGAUUUGGGCUGCUUGGUGUCCAAAUGGAACUGAUGAGCCAAAUUAUGUCGAUUGAAGGUAUAGUAAGUUUUCAAGUGGGAGUGAUUAUUGGUUGAUCCCUUCCCCAAGUUUGUAUAAUCCAAUUGAUUAUGUGCCACAGUCAAUUGAAUAUGCCCUUCAAAAGGCUGGUCUCCCUGCAUCUAGCAUUGACUGGUUACUUCUCCAUCAGGCAAACCAGAGGAUUUUUUAUGCAGUUGCCACACGGUUAGAAGUGCCAUCAGAAAGGAAGAUAUCAAAUUUGGCUAAUUAUGGAAACACAAGUGCAGCUUCAAUUCCCUUAGCUUUAGAUGAAGCAGUUCCCUCAAAUUUCACGGCAAUAUUGCAGCACUGCACUCCCCUUAACUUGUCCUUUUCUUUUUCUUUUUGUCUUCAAUUCACAUUCUCUUUUGUCUUCUUUUCUCAAGUAUCCGAGAUAUAUGUAUUUGUCAUUCAGAUUUAUUUUGAACGAGGCUUAUUAUUUAUGUUUAUCAAUGGUACUUGUAAAUAAAAUUGUAGCAUUGAAGUGUCUGCUUGCUUAUACUCAUACUUGUCCGCACCAAACAACCACUUCAUUUAAA
This is a long non-coding RNA of Gastrolobium bilobum, 725 nucleotides long. RefSeq lists it as uncharacterized. NCBI's taxonomy places the organism in Eukaryota, Viridiplantae, Streptophyta, Magnoliopsida, Fabales, Fabaceae. The record is from RefSeq and is a predicted model, not a curated record. The transcript has 3 exons.